Molecule: long non-coding RNA, 956 nt
Filed under: Androctonus crassicauda
Lineage: Eukaryota; Metazoa; Arthropoda; Arachnida; Scorpiones; Buthidae
Source: RNAcentral
ACAAAGCUAUUUAAAUAUUUCUGGAGAUAGAAUAACAGCCAUAUGAGUUACAAACAAAACUUACAUAUGAAAUAUAUUUAUAAGUUGAAAACUGCAUGUACACAAUAUUUAAGCCAAAUUUUUAAAAUAUCUGAUCAAAAUUCUGAUAAUAUUUGCAACUGAAAAAUUUAUUAUUAUUGUAAAUUCUGUAUUAUUUAAACAGUGAUUAGAUAUUCUGUAAAUUCAUAUGCAAAAAUAAUAUAAAUAGUCAUUAGAAAAACUUUGUGAGGACUGUGGUGGUGUCCAUUUUGUCAGAAUGGCCAUAAAAUUUGAUGGCGCGUGGAUACGUGACACUGAGGUCUGGGAUCAGAAAUUGACUCACAAACUUAUUUAAAUGAUAACUAAUGUUUAUUUAACAGAAGAAUAUAACAAAAAAAGUUAUUUAAAACUAAAUCUAUUAUGAUACAUUGUUGAGAGAGUGUAUGAGAGUUCCACAGGCCUUUCACAUACUUGAGAGAGAGUUUGCCAAUACUAAAUCUAUUUGGCAAUUAUUUGUACACUAAUAUUAAAUGUCCCUCUUGUUCACAAAUGUCCUUUGUAAAGUUCAACAUAUUCAUUGCUAAUGUUCACCAUCAUCAUCGUCUGUUCUAUUUGUCAGCUUUGCUGUCAUCAUCCAUCAUCUCUGUUAUUGUCUGUCGUCUCUGUUGGGCUUGCUGCCCCGACGGGAUGAGUUGUUUGCGCAUCGUUGCAUAUUUUCGUUAUUUUUCUUGGACACUAGCACUUCUUCUUCUUUGACUGCUGACUACCCUCUCUUGACUCUGCUGGCUGACUAAUCUUCUCGUAUUUACUUGAUGUCUUCAAAAGGAACUUUCCCGUGGUAUUUCUAGAUGGAAUUAACUUGUAGUUCCUUGUCAGUUAUGAUGACUAAUUAUUAUCUACUUUUUAAUCUUUAAUAUAUUAAUCUAUGUAAUUUAUUA